RNAcentral lists this ribosomal RNA (524 nucleotides) under Salmonella enterica subsp. enterica serovar Newport. RNAcentral describes it as "partial 23S ribosomal RNA". It matches the Rfam family "Bacterial large subunit ribosomal RNA", at positions 2419 to 2925 of the family's 2925-position model. Lineage: Bacteria; Pseudomonadati; Pseudomonadota; Gammaproteobacteria; Enterobacterales; Enterobacteriaceae. The record is from RNAcentral.
UCCGGUGGUUCUGAAUGGAAGGGCCAUCGCUCAACGGAUAAAAGGUACUCCGGGGAUAACAGGCUGAUACCGCCCAAGAGUUCAUAUCGACGGCGGUGUUUGGCACCUCGAUGUCGGCUCAUCACAUCCUGGGGCUGAAGUAGGUCCCAAGGGUAUGGCUGUUCGCCAUUUAAAGUGGUACGCGAGCUGGGUUUAGAACGUCGUGAGACAGUUCGGUCCCUAUCUGCCGUGGGCGCUGGAGAACUGAGGGGGGCUGCUCCUAGUACGAGAGGACCGGAGUGGACGCAUCACUGGUGUUCGGGUUGUCAUGCCAAUGGCACUGCCCGGUAGCUAAAUGCGGAAGAGAUAAGUGCUGAAAGCAUCUAAGCACGAAACUUGCCCCGAGAUGAGUUCUCCCUGAGACUUAAAGUCUCCUGAAGGAACGUUGAAGACGACGACGUUGAUAGGCCGGGUGUGUAAGCGCAGCGAUGCGUUGAGCUAACCGGUACUAAUGAACCGUGAGGCUUAACCUUACAACGCCGAAG